ACAACAUAACCUGAAAUAACGCACAUAACUUACCAUCGACAAGAAUAGAUACUAACGCAGUUUAGACCAUCGAAGAAAAACCCACUUCUCCACAGCCUUUUCCUACACAAAAUUUCACAUGAAUAAAAUCCCCUAUCUACAUCACUACGCUACUACGAAAAAGAAUAAACCAAUAGCUUACCCAAAUUAUAAAAAUGCCAAGUUCUAAAGUGCAACGUAAAGAACAAAAGAUGUAAACAGAUUUGAAGGGGAAAGAAAACGAGAGAAAGAAUCAAAGAUGUAGAGAAGGAGAACAAGAAGGAAACAUCAGAAAGAAUGGAGAAACUAACGUUAGAAUUUUUUCUUGGGAAGAGAGAGAAAAGAAGAAAAACAAAAACAAAAUAAAAUAAAAUAAGCUAAAAUCCCUCAAUCCCCCAAAUUAAGGCAUGAUCUCCUAUCAACCUAAUCCCAACUACCCACUAUCUCAUCCACUUAUACAGACUUCCAAACCCAUCCAAACUCUCU
RNAcentral lists this long non-coding RNA (504 nucleotides) under Gossypium raimondii (Peruvian cotton). Its description in RNAcentral is "long non-coding RNA (GRAI_LNC000368)". Lineage: Eukaryota; Viridiplantae; Streptophyta; Magnoliopsida; Malvales; Malvaceae. The record is from RNAcentral.